GUCAUUGUUGUCUGUCUCUACAUGCUUUAUUUUUCCAUCAGAUGCAGUGCCAGUGUUGAGAGCUUCCAGCAGAAAAUUGAAAUUGGUUGAUGGGAAACCGAGUUGAUCUGCUCAGCGGAGAAGAUAUGUCAUCGGAUAGAAUUAAAGAGGAUGACGAAUUAAAGAG
Molecule: long non-coding RNA, 166 nt
Organism: Hibiscus syriacus
Lineage: Eukaryota; Viridiplantae; Streptophyta; Magnoliopsida; Malvales; Malvaceae
Exons: 3
Source: RefSeq, a predicted model, not a curated record